GGUCCCGGGUGAGGGAUGCGAGCAGCAGCUCUAGAGGGGAACUGGGGGAGCGUGGCUCGGUGAGGGCGUGCUCGGAACACCCUCAUCCCCGAACUUGUGUGAUACAGCGUCGCACAAGAAGAAUUCAAAACCGCGAGAAGAGGAGGACGCGGCCAGGCUGCACCCAGCCCCGGCGCCGCUGUUGGGAGGGAGAGGCAGGCCGGGCUGAGCGGGGCCGCGGGGACGCGCGCUCCCGGGCUUCUCCGGAGUCGGCCGGGGCCAGGCCCAGGACUGAGGCCGGACCGCGCGUCCCACCCCUCACACCCCUGGAAACACCCUCAGGGCACUUCUCCUUGCUGCUGCCACAUGAAGAAGGAUGUGUUUGCUUCCCCUUCUGCCAUGAUUUUAAGUUUCCUGAGACCUUCCAGCCAUGCUGAACUGAUUUCCUGAAGACACUAUCACAGUCAAGUGGUCUGCCUGGUACUGAGCCAUCAGACCACCCAGCAUGUCCUCACCCACAUGGACAGGUGACAGGGGGCUCUGAGUAUGCCUCAGUGCACCUUACGCGCCUGUGAAGGUUGGGAGCCUGAGUGCAGCUCCUGUGGCACUGCCCACGGGCAGGGAGAUGCCUCCUCAGUGCUCCUGACCCUCAGUGGAGGAGUGGCCAGCGUGUCUGCUGGCAGUGCGUCCACACAGAUGUCCUGCACCCAAAGGGCAAGUGGGAAACAAAGGAAAAUGUCUGUCUGAAGGAAAAGGCAAAGCAAUUUGGAUUUCUGCGAGAAAAUGAGACUGCAUGUGGCACUGUAAAUCCCCUUGCUGUUGAACUUCUCGCGCCCCCCAAAUACACCCUUCAUAUUGACAUGUCUGGAACCUUAAACUGAACCAAGUUGAAAAGUGAGAUUAAUUAGGGCUGAGUUAACAGUUAACACAUACAAUGAAAUAUUGAAUGAGGCUUACUGAGCAAACAAGAAUAUACAGAAGUGGAGGAGACAAAGAGGAUAUUAAAAAUGCAGAGAGUGAUGAGGCAGAUAGCUGCGACAAAUAAUGAAAAACAGUAAAGGAGAUAAGGCAGAUACUGGAGGAGCAAAGAGUCUCUGAAAUAGAUGUCGGUAUCGAAAGAUGCUAAACACGCUUCUAAAGAGGCUUUCUAGCCGACACAGGGAGCUCACUGAUGGAUGAAGUAGAAACAUUUUUAAAUGGAAUCAAACAGGGCAAAGCGGGAGAAGAAAAAGAAGCAGGUAAACCAGUAAAUUAACUUUCCUUGCGUGUGCCGUAUACUAUUUGUGAGCGAGCAGUGAAUGCUGUGGAUCCCUGGAGGGGCUGGGGGCUGCGGUGGGAGGGUUUCGCUGCAAUGAAGCAGAGGUGGUGCCUUUGGACCUCUUCUCCUGAACCUUCAGGGAGAGACGCAGAAUAUUCAAAAUGUGAAGAUGCAACGAUUCAAAUGAGUGUGCAGGUUUUCAGGGUGGUUGCUAAACCCAAAAAGACCGACAGCUUCGGGCGAAAGACUGCAGAAAGACCAGCUUUAAAUUUUUACUGAAGCAAUGGGAAAUUUACCUCGUAAGCCUUGAAAACUUCCCAAAGGGGUUCCUGUUCGUUCCUGUGGAUCCUAAUGGGCCAGCGUAGACCUGUUAGUCAAAAGAGGAUUUACCUACAUUGCACACUCGUUCGGACUGGCAGGGAAGUCAAUGCCACUUCCAGAUGUUUGCAGGGCAUGAACCCUGUCCGUUCCCACGCCCUCCAAUGGCUGUUACACAGGGAUGCCCACUUCUGGACAGAAGUGAUUCAUGCAAAAUGAGAACCAUGACCACAGAAGGUUUUGUGCAUUUGGUUAUUUCAAUAUUUAAGUGUAUGCAUGAAUGCUCAGGGUAAAAACGCUUGGAGUUUAACUCAAUUAAAAAUGUAUACAUUAUUCAUCUUCUAUGGACUGUCCACCAUGUAACCCAGAGAGCUGAGGGGGUAGAAAUACAUUCAUUCAUUCACUG
Molecule: long non-coding RNA, 1961 nt
Filed under: Macaca mulatta (Rhesus monkey)
Lineage: Eukaryota; Metazoa; Chordata; Mammalia; Primates; Cercopithecidae
Description: lncRNA (ENSMMUG00000052635.1)
Source: RNAcentral